ACGUCGGGAUCGGAACCGGCCCACCUCUCCUUCCCCAGAGGGGAUUUCACGAGCUCCGGUUUGCAGCCCGGCACCCCUCGGAGAGUCCCUCCAGGGUGCCUGAGUCGCGCCCAGCCUGUGCCUUCACAACUCGAUGCAGGGACCCGGGGAGGCGCGCGAGGACCGACCGGUCACCGCUCCAAUUACCUCAUCGCUUUAGCUCCCCGCCCCUUUCCCAAACCUGGAAGAACUGUCCCCUCCGGCCCCGGUCACCGCUCCCGCCCCGCGUCCCCCCCACCCCGACCCCCCCGCCAACCCCGAUCCCGAGCGGGUCUCGGGGAAACGCGCCCGCCUCCUCGGGGGGCUGCCGAGCCCCGGGAUGCGCGCACCCAAGGGUUAAGGGCGCCGGCCGGCGGCCGCGCCGGGCGCUCGCGGUGCUCAGAGCGGCUCGCCCCGCCGGAGGGUGGCCCCCCCAACCCCCCCCACCCCCACCGAAGUCGGAUCCUUGAGCUGCGGCGGCGGCAGCCAACUGCUCCAUAUUUGGCUUCUAUUACACAUUUACAUACUGGAGCGAGCGAGCGAGCGAGCGCGAGAGAGCGCGAGGGAGGGCGGGCGGAGGGAGGAGGGAGGGGAGGAGGGGGGAGGAGGAGGAGAGAGCAGAGUAUACCGCAGACAUCAUUUCUACUACAGUGGCGGAGCCGUACAGGACCUGUUUCACUGCAGGGGGAUCCAAAACAAGCCCUGUGGAGCAGCAGCCAGAGCUACCGCAGCCGCAAGACACUGUUUCUCUCCCUCUGCCCCCCCUUCCCCACGCAACCCCAGAUCCAUUUACACUUUACAGAGGAUCCGGCUGCAAAUCACCGAGGUGUUCCGUUCAAGCUGCAGAUUCGUCUGUCGUCUUUGGACAGCGGUCUCCUCCUCCACGGCUGCCUCGGGGGAGCCCGACACCCAUCAGGGUUUACAACUUAUCAGCUGUGUGUUGUGGCUUCUAACUCUGUGACUGCUCUAAGCCCAUCAAGAGGUUAA
Molecule: long non-coding RNA, 1005 nt
Filed under: Cervus hanglu yarkandensis (Yarkand deer)
Lineage: Eukaryota; Metazoa; Chordata; Mammalia; Artiodactyla; Cervidae
Description: lncRNA (ENSCHYG00000022303.1)
Source: RNAcentral